This 2837-nucleotide ribosomal RNA is filed under the name Candidatus Aenigmatarchaeota archaeon. RNAcentral's name for it is "partial 23S ribosomal RNA". It matches the Rfam family "Bacterial large subunit ribosomal RNA", at positions 1982 to 2912 of the family's 2925-position model. The record is from RNAcentral. Lineage: Archaea; Nanobdellati; Candidatus Aenigmatarchaeota.
UCCGACGUGCACGAAUGGUGUAAUGACUGGGGAACUGUCUCGAGGACUCGCUCGGUGAAAAUGCAUUUCCGGUGAAGAUGCCGGAUACCUGUAGUUAGACGAAAAGACCCUAGGAGCUUUACUACAGCUUCGUAUUGGUCCCGCGGGAUGUAUGCGUAGGAUAGGUGGGAGGCUUUGAAGUGACUCUUUCGGGAGUCAUGGAGCCGUCAGUGAAAUACCACUCUUACAUCCGGCGGGAUCUAAUCCCGCUGGAGAAACUAGCGGGAGACCGUGCGUGGCGGGUAGUUUUGGUGGGGCGCUAUCCUUGGGCCAAUGAAUGCAAAUUCGUUGGCCGAAGCCAUGGCGCCCCAUGAGGAGUAAUAGACCUCGAAACAAAUAAAUGAGGGGGCAUGAUGAAAAUCAUGGGCAGUUGGGAAUAUGCUGGAAAAACCGGGGAAUGGUAUACUACUUGCAAUGAUUAUAAGUAAAAAUGUAUACCUGCGGUCAAUCAGCAGGGAAAUCAAAAAAUAUGAGUGAAAGCAUUCAAGAAAGAGGUCCUCGUGGAGAGUUGCUGGACAAAGCUAGAGCCGUUUGGCAUCAACUUGAAAGUGCUUUAGAGCAAGGCACCGUUGAUGACCUAAAAGCUCUGAAGCCAGAAUUGUUGCGGUUAAUUGAACUUAUUGACCGAAACUCAUAAAUUCGACCCCUCAGAGACUACAAACCAACCAUCUGAAAAGAUGAAUGUAUAGUCCGCACUGCAUGGCGACGUGCAGAUAACAUAAUGGCCUAAAAAGUAACGGAGGAGUCUAUUAAGGUUCUCUAGCCGCGAAUGGAAACCGUGGCGAUAGUGUAAUGGCACAAGAGAGCUUAACUGCAAGACGGACAUGUCGAGCCGCGUAAAGUCGCCGCAAGGCGACCACGCGGGCACGAGAUUGAUUUAUCAAUUUUCGUGCCAGAUGCGAAAGCAGAGCAUAGUGAACCGAUGGUACGCCUUAGAUGCGGCCAAAGAUUAACGGAUAUAAGUUACCCUAGGGAUGGACUCUGAAAUAAGAGUUUGUUGUCCUCCCGCAGAGUAAUCUGCGGAUAUAAGAACGGCUUAUAACGGUGGACGGGGAAUGAGAGUUUUCUGAAUACCGUGGGAAGUCGUGAGUGAUAGAAUAAAGUUAUGCAUCUGACAAGGAAUCAAGAAGCAAUUCUGGUAGGGAGCGUUCUCGGGGAUGCAUUCCUCCAGAAGACCGGAGCACGUAAUGCGCGCCUACGGUUUGAGCACGGCGUGAAGCAAAAGGAGUAUCUUUUUUGGAAAGUGAAGGCGCUCACGCGUCUCUUCCAGGGCAGACCAACCCAUCUCUCGCGUGUGCAUCCUAAAACCAAAGCGACCUACGAGUAUUGGCGUGCGCAAUCAAAUGCGACACCGGAACUCGGGAAGUGGCGGGCGAUUUUUUACCCACAAGGUAAGAAACGAGUACCGGCAGACAUCGCAAAGUUCCUGAAAGAACCACUUGCGCUCGCUGUCUGGUACAUGGAUGACGGAUAUUAUUAUCCGAAAGAUAAAAACAGUUUCUUGUAUCUUGGCAGAGUUUCUCGUGAAGAAGCAGAGUAUACGUGCAAAGCGUUAGUCCAGAAUUUUGGACUCGCACCGCGUGUGUAUGAUAAGAAGCAGAAGGGAUUCGCUCUCUACUUCGGAGUCGCUGAAACGAAAAAAUUGCAUAAGGUGGUGCGGCGGCGUAUGCUGCUGCCCUUGUUCGCUUACAAAUUAGGCGACACUCAUUGACCCCGUAACGACUUGCGUACUCAUUGUACGCAGAGCAAGAGAUUACGCCGAAGUAAUCUCGAAGCUAAGACGCCGUCUCCCACCCUUUCGCUCGGAAAGAGCGGGAUGAAGAUAUAGUCUAAUCAUAGCCAAAAGUACGAAAGUACAGAUUGAACAGGCUAGUUCCGCCCAAGCGUCCAUAGCGACGGCGGAGUUCGGCACCUCGAUGUCGGCUCACCUUAGCGCGGGGCUGGAGAAGGUCCCAAGCGUUUGGCUGUUCGCCAAUUAAAAAGGUACGCGAGCUGGGUUCAGACCGUUCGGUAGGGAAGGCGCUAGAAAUUAGGCGCUAGGCACUAGCAGAGAUUGCUAAAGCCUAGUGCCUACGGCCUUAUCUUUCGAACGGUCUGAAUCCACGAGGAAUUGUUAGGUGCGUGGAGACGCAUUGUGCGUAAACGACAACUCACGGCGGUCGCGCAUAGGAAUAUGCGCGUUAGCAAAUCAACUGAUAUCGGUGGAAUCCAGCCCCAGUUUUGUAAUGCACUAAACUGGAGCUGGGCAACACCGAGGGAAGAAAAUUGUGAAUUUCAUAGAGGAGCUUGGGAGCGCUCGUGUGUUUGCGGCACGAGUUACAAGAAGCCGUUGUUUAGGCUAGGGGCUCUUGAGGUUGAAUCCUCUGGUGAGGGAAGCGGUUUAACAACCGUUGUAAAAAUUUCCUCACCUCUUCUAUGAAGUUCACAAUUGUCACCCGUAGAGACUGAAUGUUGGUCAUCGAGAACCGAUGGUGUUACAGUCCAAUCCCAUAAGUAAUUAUGGACGUAGAUGCGUGAGACAGGUUGGUCUCCUAUCUACUACAGGCGUUGAUUCUUGAGGAGGGUCGUCCCCAGUACGAGAGGACCGGGAUGAACUGACCUCUGGUCUAUCGGCUGUCGCGCCAGCGGCACCGCCGAGUAGCUAUGUCGGGUUGCGAUAACCGCUGAAAGCAUAUAAGCGGGAAACGCGCUCCAAGAUUAGGAAUCGUUAUGAGACUCGUGGGAGAUGACCACGUUGAUAGGCUCUAGAUGGAAGCGCCGCAAGGCGCGGAGUCGAGGAGUACUAAUAUGUCCAGUCU